This 253-nucleotide ribosomal RNA is filed under the name uncultured bacterium. RNAcentral's name for it is "partial 16S ribosomal RNA". It matches the Rfam family "Bacterial small subunit ribosomal RNA", at positions 524 to 776 of the family's 1533-position model. The record is from RNAcentral.
UACGUAGGGUGCGAGCGUUGUCCGGAAUUAUUGGGCGUAAAGAGCUCGUAGGCGGUUUGUCGCGUCUGCCGUGAAAGUCCGGGGCUCAACUCCGGAUCUGCGGUGGGUACGGGCAGACUAGAGUGAUGUAGGGGAGACUGGAAUUCCUGGUGUAGCGGUGAAAUGCGCAGAUAUCAGGAGGAACACCGAUGGCGAAGGCAGGUCUCUGGGCAUUAACUGACGCUGAGGAGCGAAAGCACGGGGAGCGAACAGG